UACAGAGGGUGCGAGCGUUAAUCGGAAUUACUGGGCGUAAAGCGCACGUAGGCGGCUUGGUAUGUCGGGUGUUAAAUCCCCGGGCUCAACCUGGGAACUGCAUCCGAAACUGCCUUGCUAGAGUAUGGGAGAGGGAAGUGGAAUUUCCGGUGUAGCGGUGAAAUGCGUAGAUAUCGGAAGGAACAUCAGUGGCGAAGGCGACUUCCUGGACCAAUACUGACGCUCAGGUGCGAAAGCGUGGGGAGCAAACAGG
This 253-nucleotide ribosomal RNA is filed under the name uncultured bacterium. RNAcentral describes it as "partial 16S ribosomal RNA". It matches the Rfam family "Bacterial small subunit ribosomal RNA", at positions 524 to 776 of the family's 1533-position model. The record is from RNAcentral.